This 585-nucleotide ribosomal RNA is filed under the name Aureobasidium pullulans. RNAcentral describes it as "eukaryotic LSU rRNA". It matches the Rfam family "Eukaryotic large subunit ribosomal RNA", at positions 35 to 636 of the family's 3401-position model. The record is from RNAcentral. Lineage: Eukaryota; Fungi; Ascomycota; Dothideomycetes; Dothideales; Saccotheciaceae.
GGGGCAUAUCCCAAAAGGAGGAAAAGAAACCAACAGGGAUUGCCCUAGUAACGGCGAGUGAAGCGGCAACAGCUCAAAUUUGAAAGCUAGCCUUCGGGUUCGCAUUGUAAUUUGUAGAGGAUGCUUUGGGUAAAACGCCAGUCUAAGUUCCUUGGAACAGGACGUCAUAGAGGGUGAGAAUCCCGUAUGUGACUGGAAAUGUUAACCUAUGUAAAGCUCCUUCGACGAGUCGAGUUGUUUGGGAAUGCAGCUCUAAAUGGGAGGUAAAUUUCUUCUAAAGCUAAAUAUUGGCGAGAGACCGAUAGCGCACAAGUAGAGUGAUCGAAAGAUGAAAAGCACUUUGGAAAGAGAGUUAAAAAGCACGUGAAAUUGUUGAAAGGGAAGCGCUUGCAAUCAGACUUGUUUAAACUGUUCGGCCGGUCUUCUGACCGGUUUACUCAGUUUGGACAGGCCAGCAUCAGUUUCGGCGGCCGGAUAAAGGCUCUGGGAAUGUGGCCUCCACUUCGGUGGAGGUGUUAUAGCCCAGUGUGUAAUACGGCCAGCCGGGACUGAGGUCCGCGCUUCGGCUAGGAUGCAGACUAAAUA